RNAcentral lists this ribosomal RNA (2914 nucleotides) under Klebsiella pneumoniae. Its description in RNAcentral is "23S ribosomal RNA". It matches the Rfam family "Bacterial large subunit ribosomal RNA". The record is from RNAcentral. Lineage: Bacteria; Pseudomonadati; Pseudomonadota; Gammaproteobacteria; Enterobacterales; Enterobacteriaceae.
GGGUUGUGAGGUUAAGCGACUAAGCGUACACGGUGGAUGCCCUGGCAGUCAGAGGCGAUGAAGGACGUGCUAAUCUGCGAAAAGCGUCGGUAAGGUGAUAUGAACCGUUAUAACCGGCGAUGUCCGAAUGGGGAAACCCAGUGUGAUUCGUCACACUAUCGUUAACUGAAUACAUAGGUUAACGAGGCGAACCGGGGGAACUGAAACAUCUAAGUACCCCGAGGAAAAGAAAUCAACCGAGAUUCCCCCAGUAGCGGCGAGCGAACGGGGAGCAGCCCAGAGUCUGAAUCAGCUUGUGUGUUAGUGGAACGGUCUGGAAAGUCCGACGGUACAGGGUGAUAGUCCCGUACACCAAAAUGCACAGGCUGUGAACUCGAAGAGUAGGGCGGGACACGUGGUAUCCUGUCUGAAUAUGGGGGGACCAUCCUCCAAGGCUAAAUACUCCUGACUGACCGAUAGUGAACCAGUACCGUGAGGGAAAGGCGAAAAGAACCCCGGCGAGGGGAGUGAAAAAGAACCUGAAACCGUGUACGUACAAGCAGUGGGAGCACCUUCGGGUGUGACUGCGUACCUUUUGUAUAAUGGGUCAGCGACUUAUAUUCUGUAGCAAGGUUAACCGUAUAGGGGAGCCGCAGGGAAACCGAGUCUUAACUGGGCGUUAAGUUGCAGGGUAUAGACCCGAAACCCGGUGAUUCAGCCAUGGGCAGGUUGAAGGUUGGGUAACACUAACUGGAGGACCGAACCGACUAAUGUUGAAAAAUUAGCGGAUGACUUGUGGCUGGGGGUGAAAGGCCAAUCAAACCGGGAGAUAGCUGGUUCUCCCCGAAAGCUAUUUAGGUAGCGCCUCGUGAACUCAUCUUCGGGGGUAGAGCACUGUUUCGGCUAGGGGGUCAUCCCGACUUACCAACCCGAUGCAAACUACGAAUACCGAAGAAUGUUAUCACGGGAGACACACGGCGGGUGCUAACGUCCGUCGUGAAGAGGGAAACAACCCAGACCGCCAGCUAAGGUCCCAAAGUCAUGGUUAAGUGGGAAACGAUGUGGGAAGGCACAGACAGCCAGGAUGUUGGCUUAGAAGCAGCCAUCAUUUAAAGAAAGCGUAAUAGCUCACUGGUCGAGUCGGCCUGCGCGGAAGAUGUAACGGGCUAAACCAUGCACCGAAGCUGCGGCAGCGACUAUGUGUUGUUGGGUAGGGGAGCGUUCUGUAAGCCUGCGAAGGUGACCUGUGAGGGUUGCUGGAGGUAUCAGAAGUGCGAAUGCUGACAUAAGUAACGAUAAAGCGGGUGAAAAGCCCGCUCGCCGGAAGACCAAGGGUUCCUGUCCAACGUUAAUCGGGGCAGGGUGAGUCGACCCCUAAGGCGAGGCCGAAAGGCGUAGUCGAUGGGAAACAGGUUAAUAUUCCUGUACUUGGUGUUACUGCGAAGGGGGGACGGAGAAGGCUAUGUUAGCCGGGCGACGGUUGUCCCGGUUUAAGCAUGUAGGCUGAUUGUCCGCAAAUCCGGAUAAUCAAGGCUGAGGUGUGAUGACGAGGCACUACGGUGCUGAAGUAACAAAUGCCCUGCUUCCAGGAAAAGCCUCUAAGCAUCAGGUAACAUCAAAUCGUACCCCAAACCGACACAGGUGGUCAGGUAGAGAAUACCAAGGCGCUUGAGAGAACUCGGGUGAAGGAACUAGGCAAAAUGGUGCCGUAACUUCGGGAGAAGGCACGCUGGUGUGUAGGUGAAGCCCCUGCGGGUGGAGCUGAGACCAGUCGAAGAUACCAGCUGGCUGCAACUGUUUAUUAAAAACACAGCACUGUGCAAACACGAAAGUGGACGUAUACGGUGUGACGCCUGCCCGGUGCCGGAAGGUUAAUUGAUGGGGUUAUCCGUAAGGAGAAGCUCUUGAUCGAAGCCCGGUAAACGGCGGCCGUAACUAUAACGGUCCUAAGGUAGCGAAAUUCCUUGUCGGGUAAGUUCCGACCUGCACGAAUGGCGUAAUGAUGGCGGGCUGUCUCCACCCGAGACUCAGUGAAAUUGAACUCGCUGUGAAGAUGCAGUGUACCCGCGGCAAGACGGAAAGACCCCGUGAACCUUUACUAUAGCUUGACACUGAACAUUGAGCCUUGAUGUGUAGGAUAGGUGGGAGGCUUUGAAGCGUGGACGCCAGUCUGCGUGGAGCCAACCUUGAAAUACCACCCUUUAAUGUUUGAUGUUCUAACGUUGGCCCUUACCGGGGUUGCGGACAGUGUCUGGUGGGUAGUUUGACUGGGGCGGUCUCCUCCCAAAGCGUAACGGAGGAGCACGAAGGUUAGCUAAUCUGGUCGGACAUCAGGAGGUUAGUGCAAUGGCAUAAGCUAGCUUGACUGCGAGCGUGACGGCGCGAGCAGGUGCGAAAGCAGGUCAUAGUGAUCCGGUGGUUCUGAAUGGAAGGGCCAUCGCUCAACGGAUAAAAGGUACUCCGGGGAUAACAGGCUGAUACCGCCCAAGAGUUCAUAUCGACGGCGGUGUUUGGCACCUCGAUGUCGGCUCAUCACAUCCUGGGGCUGAAGUAGGUCCCAAGGGUAUGGCUGUUCGCCAUUUAAAGUGGUACGCGAGCUGGGUUUAGAACGUCGUGAGACAGUUCGGUCCCUAUCUGCCGUGGGCGCUGGAGAAUUGAGGGGGGCUGCUCCUAGUACGAGAGGACCGGAGUGGACGCAUCACUGGUGUUCGGGUUGUCAUGCCAAUGGCACUGCCCGGUAGCUAAAUGCGGAAGAGAUAAGUGCUGAAAGCAUCUAAGCACGAAACUUGCCCCGAGAUGAGUUCUCCCUGAGACUUUAAGUCUCCUGAAGGAACGUUGAAGACGACGACGUUGAUAGGCCGGGUGUGUAAGCGCAGCGAUGCGUUGAGCUAACCGGUACUAAUGAACCGUGAGGCUUAACCUUACAACGCCGAAG